CCUACGGGGUGCUGCAGUGAGGAAUAUUGGUCAAUGGACGAGAGUCUGAACCAGCCAAGUAGCGUGAAGGAUGACUGCCCUAUGGGUUGUAAACUUCUGUUAUAGGGGAAUAAAACGUUCCACGUGUGGGAUGUUGUAUGUACCAUAUGAAUAAGGAUCGGCUAACUCCGUGCCAGCAGCCGCGGUAAUACGGAGGAUCCGAGCGUUAUCCGGAUUUAGUGGGUUUAAAGGGAGCGUAGGUGGAUUGUUAAGUCAGUUGGGAAAGUUUGCGGCUCAACCGUAAAAUUGCAGUUGAAACUGGCAGUCUUGCGUACAGUAGAGGUGGGCGGAAUUCGUGGUGUAGCGGUGACAUGCUUAUAUCUCAC
RNAcentral lists this ribosomal RNA (365 nucleotides) under uncultured bacterium. RNAcentral describes it as "partial 16S ribosomal RNA". It matches the Rfam family "Bacterial small subunit ribosomal RNA", at positions 338 to 700 of the family's 1533-position model. The record is from RNAcentral.